Lutra lutra (Eurasian river otter) is the source of this 571-nucleotide long non-coding RNA. RefSeq lists it as uncharacterized. The record is from RefSeq and is a predicted model, not a curated record. NCBI's taxonomy places the organism in Eukaryota, Metazoa, Chordata, Mammalia, Carnivora, Mustelidae. The transcript is spliced from 3 exons.
CCGACUUGCAUCACCACGAGAACACUGAGCACAGACCAGCCUUCGAAGGCAAACAUUUGGCUAAAACCUUGAUCUUGCUUGCUGAUUCCACCUGACUGAUGCCACCGUUGAAAGACAAAUAGGAACACAUGGAGAAUGUGACUUUCAGGGAAUGAAUAAGACUGUAAGCUUCAUAAGGGCAGAGACCCUGCAGUGACUCCAGUGCCUGGACAGCAUUGUACACAUGCUGGGCAAACAGUUCACCUUCUAGAGCAACAACAGAACGUAGAGGCUAUUCAUGACCAGGACAUGCUCAUCCAAUGAAACUUCACAUCCCAUCUCAGAGUUACAAUAGAGGAAUUUGAUCUCAUCAAGGGGGCCAGAGGACAAUUCCCUAAAGAAGUAAUGAUUGAGCUGAGUUCCCAGGUAAGGGGGAAUGAAGGAGAGAGCUGGAACUUUCCAGGUGGGGCAAAUAGACCCAAGGACCCGGCCUUGACCCUGAGGACAGCAGACACCUCUGCAGUGUUUUGGGCAAGGAGUGAUAUAAUCUGGUUUGUGCUUCAAAAGGACCAGUAGAUUAUGACCAUUAGAC